Cuculus canorus (common cuckoo) is the source of this 786-nucleotide long non-coding RNA. RefSeq lists it as uncharacterized. Lineage: Eukaryota; Metazoa; Chordata; Aves; Cuculiformes; Cuculidae. The record is from RefSeq and is a predicted model, not a curated record. The transcript is spliced from 5 exons.
GCACCACGCGGCCCUUUCGGCAGCCGAGGCGGCAGCGGUGUGAGAGUUCCGUCCUCUCUCUCCUCCCCAACGCGGCUCGGGCCUGGCCCGGGGCCUCCUCCCGGCCAUGCUGGGGCGAGGGGGCGCCGCGGCGGGACCCCCCCGUGCAGGGGAGAGGAGGAGGAGGAUGAAGAAGAAGAAGAAGAUGAUGAUGAUGAAGGCGGGACUGGAGGCGCGUGCUGGCAGAAGACAAAAGGUGAGCUGAAAAAAAGAUCACGACUUGAGAAAUCAAGGUGAAAGCUGUGCGAUGCGGCAGCCCCAGGAGAUCUCAAAAGACCCGAGUUACUUUUGAGAACAGAACUGAGUUCUGGAACCUACUUUGCGUGUUAAAGAUCAUGCCUUGAGGUUUAGAAUUUCUGGCAAGCGUGGCUACAGAAAUGGUUGGCGGUGUCUGCAUUUGAAGAUGUGUAGAUUCUUAAAACUCCCAUCUUUUUUCAUGCGUGGGUUUGAGCACACUACAGCCUUUAAACCUUGUCAUUCUGAAUGUUUGCUCCAACCUGUGUUGCUGAGGUUAAAAUUACAGCUGUUCUCUCCCCAGAGUCCUUUCUGGUUUGCUGUACUCUGUUGGAUAAUGGUAAGAGUUGUGAUCUCGCCCUUCUUCCAGUCGUCUCAGCUCGUGCACUGUUUUCACAGCCAGAUUCUAAAGUGCUGCUGCUCCAGUCUGUGUUUUCUCUACAUGGUUAAGGAUUUUUAAAAAAAACAACCUAAAUAAAGAUGCCACCCACAAGAAGUCUGAAAUUAUUGUGC